This 341-nucleotide transfer-messenger RNA is filed under the name Armatimonadota. RNAcentral describes it as "Fervidibacter sp025060205 X1 Standard tmRNA". It matches the Rfam family "transfer-messenger RNA". From Rfam's summary of the family: Bacterial tmRNA, also known as 10Sa RNA or SsrA, is named for its dual tRNA and mRNA-like properties. Its role is to liberate the mRNA from a stalled ribosome. RNAcentral also lists the same sequence under 3 other names. Lineage: Bacteria; Bacillati. The record is from RNAcentral.
GGGGGCGAAAUGGGCUCGACGGGAAGGAACGAGGCAUCGGUGGCGAGCCGGGUGGCUCCCGUUAACAGCCAACCAAAAUAAGUGCGACUCCUGUUGCUUUGGCUGCAUAACGAAACGCAGCAGCCCGCCUGAAGUUCGCCUGGUGGCUUCAGGGUCGGGUUCACAGAGCCGGGUGCGUCGCUGCUGACGCCCGCUGAGCAGCGACAAAGACCAAUGCGGGCUUGGUGGCGGGGAACCAGCGUCGCGGCGACCCGUCACGAGAGGGGACGGUGACGCUACGCUCGUAGGCACCGAUGCAUCAGCCUUUCCGGACGCGGGUUCAAUUCCCGCCGCCUCCACCA